GGUCGGCCCCUAAGGCGAGGCCGAAAGGCGUAGUCGAUGGGAAACGGGUCAAUAUUCCCGUACCGAUCUGUAAUGCGAUGGGGGGACGGAGAAGGUUAGCUCAGCCAUCUGUUGGAAUAGGUGGUUUAAGCGUGUAGGCGUGCUGCAUAGGCAAAUCCGUGCGGCUUAGUCGAGGCGUGAUGACGAGGAUCUUCGGAUCUGAAGUGAGUGAUACCCAGCUUCCAGGAAAAGCCUCUAAGCUUCAGUUACAGAUUGACCGUACCGCAAACCGACACAGGUGGGCAGGAUGAAAAUUCUAAGGCGCUUGAGAGAACUCAGGAGAAGGAACUCGGCAAAUUGAUACCGUAACUUCGGGAGAAGGUAUGCCCCGGUAGCGUGAAGCCCCUGCGGGUGGAGCGUGAUGGAGUCGCAGAGAAUCGGUGGCUGCAACUGUUUAAUAAAAACACAGCACUCUGCAAAGGCGAAAGCCGACGUAUAGGGUGUGACGCCUGCCCGGUGCCGGAAGGUUAAGUGAUGGGGUGCAAGCUCUUGAUCGAAGCCCCGGUAAACGGCGGCCGUAACAAUAACGGUCCUAAGGUAGCGAAAUUCCUUGUCGGGUAAGUUCCGACCUGCACGAAUGGCGUAAUGAUGGCCACACUGUCUCCUCCUGAGACUCAGCGAAGUUGAAAUGUUUGUGAAGAUGCAAUCUCCCCGCGGCUAGACGGAAAGACCCCAUGAACCUUUACUGUAGCUUUGCAUUGGACUUUGACGGGACUUGCGUAGGAUAGGUGGGAGGCUGUGAGGCGUGGUCGCCAGAUCGCGCGGAGCCGACGUUGAAAUACCACCCUGGUGUCGUUGAGGUUCUAACCUUGGUCCGUGAAUCCGGAUCGGGGACCGUGCAUGGCAGGCAGUUUGACUGGGGCGGUCUCCUCCCAAAGUGUAACGGAGGAGUACGAAGGUCUUCUAAGCACGGUCGGACAUCGUGCUCAUAGUGCAAUGGCAAAAGAAGGCUUGACUGCGAGUCCCACAAGACGAGCAGGUGCGAAAGCAGGUCAUAGUGAUCCGGUGGUUCUGUAUGGAAGGGCCAUCGCUCAACGGAUAAAAGGUACUCUGGGGAUAACAGGCUGAUUCCGCCCAAGAGUUCAUAUCGACGGCGGAGUUUGGCACCUCGAUGUCGGCUCAUCACAUCCUGGGGCUGUAGCCGGUCCCAAGGGUAUGGCUGUUCGCCAUUUAAAGUGGUACGUGAGCUGGGUUUAAAACGUCGUGAGACAGUUUGGUCCCUAUCUGCCGUGGGCGCUGGAAAUUUGAGGGGGCCUGCUCCUAGUACGAGAGGACCGGAGUGGACGGAUCUCUGGUGUACCGGUUGUCACGCCAGUGGCAUCGCCGGGUAGCUAAAUCCGGAAGAGAUAAACGCUGAAAGCAUCUAAGCGUGAAACUCGCCUCGAGAUGAGAUUUCCCGGGAGUUCAACUCCCCUGAAGGGUCGUCCUAGACCAGGACGUUGAUAGGUCAGGUGUGGAAGCGCAGUAAUGCGUUAAGCUAACUGAUACUAAUUGCCCGUGCGGCUUGACC
This 1549-nucleotide ribosomal RNA is filed under the name metagenome. RNAcentral describes it as "bacterial LSU rRNA". It matches the Rfam family "Bacterial large subunit ribosomal RNA", at positions 1379 to 2925 of the family's 2925-position model. The record is from RNAcentral.